This 1529-nucleotide ribosomal RNA is filed under the name Klebsiella pneumoniae. RNAcentral describes it as "bacterial SSU rRNA". It matches the Rfam family "Bacterial small subunit ribosomal RNA". The record is from RNAcentral. Lineage: Bacteria; Pseudomonadati; Pseudomonadota; Gammaproteobacteria; Enterobacterales; Enterobacteriaceae.
AGAGUUUGAUCAUGGCUCAGAUUGAACGCUGGCGGCAGGCCUAACACAUGCAAGUCGAGCGGUAGCACAGAGAGCUUGCUCUCGGGUGACGAGCGGCGGACGGGUGAGUAAUGUCUGGGAAACUGCCUGAUGGAGGGGGAUAACUACUGGAAACGGUAGCUAAUACCGCAUAACGUCGCAAGACCAAAGUGGGGGACCUUCGGGCCUCAUGCCAUCAGAUGUGCCCAGAUGGGAUUAGCUAGUAGGUGGGGUAACGGCUCACCUAGGCGACGAUCCCUAGCUGGUCUGAGAGGAUGACCAGCCACACUGGAACUGAGACACGGUCCAGACUCCUACGGGAGGCAGCAGUGGGGAAUAUUGCACAAUGGGCGCAAGCCUGAUGCAGCCAUGCCGCGUGUGUGAAGAAGGCCUUCGGGUUGUAAAGCACUUUCAGCGGGGAGGAAGGCGNNNNNNNNNNNNNNNNNNNUCGAUUGACGUUACCCGCAGAAGAAGCACCGGCUAACUCCGUGCCAGCAGCCGCGGUAAUACGGAGGGUGCAAGCGUUAAUCGGAAUUACUGGGCGUAAAGCGCACGCAGGCGGUCUGUCAAGUCGGAUGUGAAAUCCCCGGGCUCAACCUGGGAACUGCAUUCGAAACUGGCAGGCUAGAGUCUUGUAGAGGGGGGUAGAAUUCCAGGUGUAGCGGUGAAAUGCGUAGAGAUCUGGAGGAAUACCGGUGGCGAAGGCGGCCCCCUGGACAAAGACUGACGCUCAGGUGCGAAAGCGUGGGGAGCAAACAGGAUUAGAUACCCUGGUAGUCCACGCCGUAAACGAUGUCGAUUUGGAGGUUGUGCCCUUGAGGCGUGGCUUCCGGAGCUAACGCGUUAAAUCGACCGCCUGGGGAGUACGGCCGCAAGGUUAAAACUCAAAUGAAUUGACGGGGGCCCGCACAAGCGGUGGAGCAUGUGGUUUAAUUCGAUGCAACGCGAAGAACCUUACCUGGUCUUGACAUCCACAGAACUUUCCAGAGAUGGAUUGGUGCCUUCGGGAACUGUGAGACAGGUGCUGCAUGGCUGUCGUCAGCUCGUGUUGUGAAAUGUUGGGUUAAGUCCCGCAACGAGCGCAACCCUUAUCCUUUGUUGCCAGCGGUUAGGCCGGGAACUCAAAGGAGACUGCCAGUGAUAAACUGGAGGAAGGUGGGGAUGACGUCAAGUCAUCAUGGCCCUUACGACCAGGGCUACACACGUGCUACAAUGGCAUAUACAAAGAGAAGCGACCUCGCGAGAGCAAGCGGACCUCAUAAAGUAUGUCGUAGUCCGGAUUGGAGUCUGCAACUCGACUCCAUGAAGUCGGAAUCGCUAGUAAUCGUAGAUCAGAAUGCUACGGUGAAUACGUUCCCGGGCCUUGUACACACCGCCCGUCACACCAUGGGAGUGGGUUGCAAAAGAAGUAGGUAGCUUAACCUUCGGGAGGGCGCUUACCACUUUGUGAUUCAUGACUGGGGUGAAGUCGUAACAAGGUAACCGUAGGGGAACCUGCGGUUGGAUCACCU